This 393-nucleotide ribosomal RNA is filed under the name uncultured bacterium. Its description in RNAcentral is "partial 16S ribosomal RNA". It matches the Rfam family "Bacterial small subunit ribosomal RNA", at positions 338 to 729 of the family's 1533-position model. The record is from RNAcentral.
CCUACGGGAGGCAGCAGUGAGGAAUAUUGGUCAAUGGCCGUAAGGCUGAACCAGCCAAGCCGCGUGAAGGACGAAGGUGCCAAGCAUUGUAAACUUCUUUUGUCAAGGGACAAAAUCAGGCUCGAGAGCCUGACCGAGUGUACUUUAAGAAAAAGCAUCGGCUAACUCCGUGCCAGCAGCCGCGGUAAUACGGAGGAUGCGAGCGUUAUCCGGAUUUAUUGGGUUUAAAGGGUGCGUAGGCGGACUGUUAAGUCAGCGGUAAAAGCUCGGGGCUCAACCCCGGAGAGCCGUUGAAACUGGGUGUCUUGAGAGGGCGAGAGGUAUGCGGAAUGCGCGGGGGAGCGGUGAAAUGCUUAGAUAUUGCGCAGAACUCCGAUUGCGAAGGCAGCAUAC